Molecule: ribosomal RNA, 253 nt
Filed under: uncultured bacterium
Lineage: Bacteria
Description: partial 16S ribosomal RNA
Rfam family: Bacterial small subunit ribosomal RNA
Source: RNAcentral
GACGAACCGUGCGAACGUUGUUCGGAAUCACUGGGCAUAAAGGGCGCGUAGGCGGCUUGUCAAGUCAGGGGUGAAAUCCGGCAGCUUAACUGUCGAAGUGCCUUUGAUACUGAUGAGCUCGAGGGAGGUAGGGGUAUGCGGAACUUCCGGUGGAGCGGUGAAAUGCGUUGAUAUCGGAAGGAACGCCGGUGGCGAAAGCGGCGUACUGGACCUCUUCUGACGCUGAGGCGCGAAAGCUAGGGGAGCAAACAGG